UCAGACAUGCCUACUUGUUGCUUACGCAGGAGCAAGAUGAUAACACACGCGCUCACCUGAUUUGAAGUUGCAAGUUGCCAAUCAAAGUCCAAAUCUUUGGGCGGAUGCUUUUGAAGGACCACCUCAACUACAAGUGCAACCUCUUAAAAAACAAUUGUUUCGAACAACCACUACACUAGAUGCGAGCACCUUGCAAGGAUGCUCUACACAUGUUCAUUCAGUGUCCCAGUGACAUGCUUUAGGACAAAUUGCAGCUCAUGACUCCCACCUCCAUCGACCUUAUCUGGGAUGUCCCAUCACCGGCUAGCCUCGAUAGUAAGAUUUGGCCUUCUAUUGCCCUCUCAGUAUUAUGAAAAAUCCGGGACUCCAUGUGACGCCCGGAUAAUUAAGCUACAGUGAUCUCAUGCUAAUGAUAUCAUGUCAUCAUGAUUACUAUGCUAACUGCUGCCUGUUUCAAAUCAACUCCAAAAAUCCAAUAUAAAUUGCAAGUGAGAAAACAUUUCUUCAAACUGACAAAUAAAAAUGUUGAAUGGGUUGAAAAUAUUCACUAAAUAAUUAACAUAUAGGAAACAACAUUAAAUGGAUUUUUAAAUUGCCCCUGGGAGUUUUUAGCGGAUCAGCGGGAUUAAAUAAACACAUUUUAAUUCAAAUAUAAAUUUGAAUAGUCCCAAUUGGCCUCAAACCUUUUUGUACAUCCCUGUAAGAUAGCCUAGUAUUUAUGUGCUAAGUCUCACAAUAAACAAAAAUCAUCUGACAGCAUAAAGUAAAUGCAAAACAUUGGAGAAUUACAAAACAGUAAAUAAAAAUAAAAAAAAGAAAGAUGCCUAACUACUACCAUGGAGUGGGCUCUUUUUGCACAGUGCACUUGGCCCAUCGUGAAUAUUACCCAAUCCAGCCCAUCUCUCCCUCCUCUUCAACCUUACCUACAGAAACUAGUGCGUGUCGUUCAUCCGCGGCCGUCGUCGCUCGAUUGCCGCCACGCACGCCACAGAGCCUCCCCAUCCCUAUAAGCACACCCUCUGGGAACCCUAGAUCAAGCUCGCCCGAUCCCCUCUUUUUUCCCCAUCGCGCCCCCUCCUCAUCUGCUCGAAAUCGAGCGCAAGAGCUCGCGCGGUGAUUGCGCUGUCGUCGUCGUUGCCGUAGCCAGCGGCCACUGUUCGCCGUGCGCUGAUGCCCAGAAGAAGCGCGUCGUCAUCCUCUUCUUCCACGCCGAGCGCCACCAGCUAGGACGCCUUCGUGCCGUCGCUUCCGUCGAUCCCCUCCGCGGGCAACCGUCGUUGUCCGUCGUCGACGCGCUCGACCCUGUCAGCGACCCAAUUACUACCACGGCCACGUCGACCCACGGCAAGGCAGCCAGCCCACCAAGAGCGACCAACACAUGGGCCUGGGCCGUCGAGAACCAGCAAGAGCUACCAGCUAUAUAUCUACAGGGGACAGCAACGAGCUAGCCAUCCGGGCUUGGAUCAGGCAAAGGCAACGGCGGCUUCCCCUUUCCCUUCUCCUACCUCCUGUUCUUCCUCCUAUCUUCAUCUUCCUUCACCAAUUCCUUGUAUGUGAGCUUGAUUACCUUGUAAUGGAGUGAACCACAGGUCGGAACCUAACAUCAUGGCAUCAGAGCCUCCUUCCACCCUUCCGAUUCGCCACAAAUCCUCCUGAGUUCGUCCAAUUUUUGCCUAAUUUUUUUUCUCAGUUCAUCAAUUCCUUCCACCACCAUGCAUCCGGACCUGAAGGCCUACCUAGACGAUUACCACGCGCGGACCAUGGCGCGCUACGACGCCGUGGACAAGCAGUACGCCCUGAUGUUGAAGAUCCUCACGGGCAUCUCGACCCCGCAGCCGGCGUGUCCCAUGGCCACGGCAGCAGAUGGCGGCCUCACCGACGACUCCAGUGUCCCGGCGGUUGUCCCCGACACCUCUUCCUCUACCACCAAGGCCCACGAGACCUUCGAGCUCAACCCCGGCGCGUCCCUUGCUUCCAUCGAGAUGGUGCCAGUCACCUGUUCGACAGAAUGUCCGACCCAGGUAGUCACCAUCGCCAGCGUCGACGAGGUCCACGCUGCCACCACAACUGUCCGCCUUGAGCCCGCGGUCGAUCUCAUCCACCAAGAGGUCGUGCCGAUCACGACUGUUCAUGCAACGCCUUCCAUCUGCACCAGCACCACCAAGGUCCUCCCCCCUGUGGCGACCACCACCGACGUUGACUCCAAGGCCGGUGUGCAAGAGCUCGAUGCCCUCACUGUAAACACCACCCCAGUGACGAGCGAGGUGGACCACACCGUCGUCCACAAUGUCUCCAGCGACCUUACUGCAUCGACGCUGACAAGGUGUUCGACGCAAUGCACCUGUCGCCACACAAACCUACGGAGGUAUGUGCUCCACCCAGCAGCGACACCUUCGAGGCUGGUGCUACGACCGCAGCCAUGGCCAUCGUUUUGGAGACAUUAUGCAGAUGGAAACGAGAAACGGCCCAUGCCAUGGCCGUCCUUAGCUUGCUCUCGUGAACUGAAUCGGAAGCACGUUGGGCUGCUGUCACAAGUUACAUCUGCGAUGAAUCAUUUUUCUGGUACUCUAGAUUCGCUGAGAAGACCUGGGAAGUAUUUGCAAAGUAUGCAGCUGAAACUACCAUGGCCAUCAUUUUCAAGCAAUUGCCCGGCAGUAUCAGUGUGGUUAGAAUUGCCAAAGUGCAAGCUUCCAGAUGAAUAUUGUACUGCUAUUGACAAUUUUGCUUCACUGGUGACUACCACUAUCCAUGUUGUUUGUUCACUGGAACCUAUUGAGCAUCAGUUUUCAGUUGUUCUUGAGUAGGGGCGUUGGAAGUAUUCUGAGCAUCACAUAAGGGAACAUGCUGCUAUAAGUGCUCUGACUUCUCCGACAGAAUCCCUGAGAUGUCGCCAAGGGGUGCACCUGAAACUACUGUGUUCAUCAUUCUCAAGCAAUUGCCAAGCAGUACAGUUAUGGUCAGAGCUACCGACAGUGGAAUUUCAGUUUUGUGCUCAUGGUCCUACUGAUCCAAAAAUCAUGAGAGAAACCUGGUGGUGCUUGCUGAAAAUUACUUAUAAGAUCGGUCAAUUGGAUCACCUAUUCAGACCAAGACAAUGGCGGUCGCUCAAAUUGAUUCAGUUGCAUGCUAUCUCGAGGAGCCAUCUUCACGUACACAUCACCAACCUCAUGAAGUUUCAGGGUUCAGUGUUGAGCUAGUACCAUUACCAUUCAGCGAUGUGAGUUCUCCUCAAGUUCCUUAUCGUCAGUCGAAUUCCAUGGACGAGUCUUUCUGUUGUUUGCCGGGUGCAAAGCUGCAGUUUGGGCACAAUAAACUACAGAUUAUGAGCAUGUCAGUACAAUGGCACUUUCUGAGCCAAGAGAAAUUAAAGGGGAGUGGUCGUUUUGAUAGUGAAUUCAGACCUGAACAAGUAGUUGAUGUUUCAAAAACAAGAAUUCAGUUUGCCGAGCUAAUCAGCCUGGAGUGUUGCUCCUUCAAGUGUGAACCAAAUUGCAUACCAUUUGUACUCUGGUGGAAAUACAAGUGUCUUCUUCUUUUGGUGGGAAUUCAACACAUGAUUCUAGUUCAUUUGUACUUUUUGCACAAGAUGACCAGUACUGAAGCUUUGGAAAAAGGUGAUUGUCAGCAUCUUAUAUCAACCAAUUGUGUUCCAGCAUAUCUGAAAUCAGAUGAAGUCUGUGUUGCUGCUAUUUGCAAGUUUGAUCAGGGAAAUUCUCAGGAAUGGGCAUUGAUACUUUGUUUCAAUCAGCGACCACUUCUUGUUUGUUCAGGUGCAUUGGAAUCUUUCUGAGACGGGUGCUUGCUGGAUCCCCAUGGUGCCAAGCUAUAUUCCUGUCCCAAGUCAUCCAAUAAAACAAUUUAUUGAUGAUCUGACCUUGAGUAUUGCAGAACAGCGGCUAGUCAUCUGUUGGGUGCAGUCCUCUCAUGAAUUUCUCGCUCAUGACGCCCAACCGAUGUUUUGGUUCAGUCAAAAAAAUGCCCAGCUAAAGCCACCAGGAUCAUAUUUUUUAUGCACUUGUCAGGCAGUACAGUUGCUCUACCAUUGGGUUCAUGAGCACGUCACUGAGUUGGCUAGUAGUUGUUACUUUGCAAAAUUUUGGCGCACUAGAGAUUCCCAUGAUUUAGUACAUCACUGGGUAGUUCCUAUAUGUGCCAGUAUACAAGCGGGUGGCAAUCUAUUCAAGUAUAAGUGGAGCGGACAAUAUGAAUGGAGACUGUUGAAGCCUAAUUUCCUGCAAGCUAGUUCUGGCCCCUGUUCUGAUGCAUAUUUCUAUGGGAACCAAUGCACGGUGGUCGUUGAAGUGUUGGUGUAUCUUGUUGGGCAGCUAAGUGACAUGUUUCAUAAGUUACCAGCUAUAUAUCUAUGGUAUAUGCUUUGGCCGAUGUGUUGGUCGCUCUUGGUGGUUCUCGACGGCCCAGGCCCAUGUGUUGGUCGCUCUUGGUGGGCUGGCUGCCUUGCCGUGGGUCGACGUGGCCGUGAUAGUAAUUGGGUCGCUGACAUCCCCUCCUCCUUGACAGCCGGCUUGCCCCCAAGCUGGUGCCCGUUCUUCACUGGUUCUGCAAAAUCCAAUCCUCCUGGAUCCCAUUGAGCAUAAGACGAAGUUGUCGGUUGAAGUGACUGUACCGCAUGUUGUUCAUUGUUGUGUGCAGUGCUCUGAAACUCCUUCGGGGUUGAGCGUCCCAGACAUGCAGCAAGGACAUCUGCAUCUGGGUAAGUGCCCGAAGAGAAGCACCACCAAUGGCUUGACAAGAUAUUAACAUGAUCAGCACAGAUCCACAAUGGAGUGAUUUCCCAAAGAACUCCAUCGAGGUGUGGAAACUCUGAAUUAGUUAUUCGCAUAUUGCUGCUGAAUUGUGUAGAAAUUUGUGGUGGAACAAGAGGUGACCACGGAGGCUUGUGUUGCAACAAGACCAAAUGCUCUCCUGGUUUUGGAAUAAGUAGGUCCAACUCAAUCAGAAGGAGGCCACUCCCUGCCACUGAGAUGCCAAAGCAUAUACCAUAGUUGUAAGUGAUUUUGUUGCUCGCCCCUAUAUGAUACCGGCAAGGCAGCCAGCCCACCAAGAGCGACAAACACAUGGGCCUGGGCCGUCGAGAACCAGCAAGAGCUACCAGCUAUAUAUCUACAGGGGACAGCAACGAGCUAGCCAUUCGGGCUUGGAUCAGGCAAAGGCAACGGCGGCUUCCCCUUUCCCUUCUCCUACCUCCUGUUCUUCCUCCUAUCUUCAUCUUCCUUCACCAAUUCCUUGUAUGUGAGCUUGAUUACCUUGUAAUGGAGUGAACCACAGGUCGGAACCUAACAGACCCUGCCUCCCCCUCCGGUCACCGGAGAACGCCGCCACCACGCCGUCAUCACCAAGCCUCCCCGAGCCCGCGAACGCACAUCUGCAGGGCCCGGUGAGCUCCUCGUUGUCUCCCCCUUUUUUCCCGUCGAAUCUGUCGCCUUAGGCCGUCUUAGCCGCCGCGUUGGAACCCUUUGUGAGCUCAUGCUCACCCUGCCCGCGCUUGACUUCUCCCGACCGCACCUCAUCGCUACUUGCCGCGACAUACGCCUGCGGGACGCGUCCAUGGCCGCGCCUGCGCCGCACACUAGCCGCUCCCGUCCAAUCACGGCCCCGCGGGUCGCGCCCUCGACCUCAGGUGCGCGUACGUCCGCCUGCUGCUGCUGCUUUGCCGAUGCGGCUCCGCUCGCUGCACUGCUGCUUGGCGCGCGUGGUCGUGCGCCCUACUCCGUCUAGCUGCUGUAACUGCUCUGUUGCUUGUGCUGCUCGCUGCUCUGCUGCUACUCUCUGCUGCCGCCGCUGCUUACUGUUGGUGCUGCUGCUAGUUGCCGCCGCCGCCGCUGCUCCUGCUAGUGCCGUUUUGCUGCUAACCCUGCUCCGCUGCUGGUGCUCCUACUACCUGCUACCACGGACUGCUACUGCUACUAGCCAUGGCCAUCCGUGUGUGGUGUGUGUGUGUUACGUGUGUGGCCGGCUGGGCCAUUGUCCAGUGCGGCCGGCCCCUUGUUAAUUUAGGAUUAGAUUAGUUUCUGUUAAAUUAGUGCUAAUUUACUUUAAUAGCAAAUGACAUGUGGACCACCUGUGUUGGUUAUCUCUAAUUAAUUGACUUAAUAAAAACAGAGUCUAUGACAAUUGGGCCCCAACUGGCACCAGUCAAGUAUUGACUGGGUCAACUCAGAACCUGACCCCACCUGUAAGCAUCUGGUUCUAGCUGUCCUUGACUACAAAAGGGUAAUUUUGCAUUUUAUUCUCGAAAUUAAUAAAAAAAUGUUUAAAAUUUUAGAAAAUUAAUAUAAAAUAAACCGUAGUUCGGAUGGAAAAACUUUGUACAUGAAAGUUGCUCAGAACGACGAGACGAAUCCGGAUACGUAGCUAGUUCAUCCGCCACACAUCCCUAGCAUAGCAAACACGCAACUUUCCCCCUCCGGUUAUUUUGUCCGAAAAUGCGAAACACCGGAGAUACUUUCCCGGAUGUUUCCCCCUUCACCAGUAUAGCCUAGUAUUGUGUUAGGUUACCCCUAGCACCGCGUAUUGCCAUGUUAUACUUUGUGAUGCUUUGAUUGCUCUAUUAUUUAUUGUGUCCCCUUCGUUACUUCUUUCCGGUAGACCCUGACGUCGCUGCUACCCAGUACGACUACGGUGUUGACGACCCCUCCUUCUUGCCAGAGCAACCAGGCAAGCCCCCCCUCUUGAUCACCAGAUAUCGCCUAUUCUUCUCUAUACUCUUGCAUUAGAGUAGUGUAGCAUGUUACUGCUUUCCGUUAAUCCUAUUCUGCUGCAUAGCCUGUCUUUGCCACUACUGUUGUUACCUUUACCUGCAAUCCUACAUGCUUAGUAUAGGAUGCUAGUUUUCCAUCAGUGGCCCUACAUUCUUGUCCGUCUGCUGUGCUAUACUAUCGGGCUGUGAUCACUUGGGAGGUGAUCACGGGUUUAUACUAUAUACUUUAUACAUUAUACAUGUGGUGACUAAAGUCGGGUCGGCUCGUGGAGCACCCGCGAGUGAUUCACGGAUUGGGGGCUGAAAGGACCUUUGUCCCGACGGCCCUCUGGGUGGAUCUUUGUGGCGGAGCGACAGGGCAGGUUGAGACCGCCUAGGUGAGAGGUGGGCCUGGCCCUGGUCGGUGUCCGUGGUUACAUCAAUUAACACGCUUAACGAGAUCUUGGUAUUUGAUCUGAGUCUGGCCAUUUGGUCUAUACGCACUAACCAACUACGCGGGAACAGUUAUGGGCAGUCGACGUCGUGGUAUCAGCCGAAGCCUUCGUGACAUCAACGACUGAGCGGCGCGCGCUGGGUUGGAUCGCGUAACGCAACUUCCUUUGAAAUGGAGGUUCCUAGGUCUGCUCUCCGACCGCGCACGCAACGUGCAGGUGUGCAAUGGGCGAUGGGCCCAGACCCCUGCGCGCAUAGGAUUUAGACCGGCGUGUUGACCUCUCUGUUGUGCCUAGGUGGGGCUGCGAUGUGUUGAUCUUCCGCGGCCGGGCAUGACCCAGAAAAGUGUGUCCGGCCAAAUGGGAUCGAGCGUGUUGGGUUAUGUGGUGCACCCCUGCAGGUAAGUUUAUCUAUUCGAAUAGCCAUGUCCCUCGGUAAAAGGACGACCCGGAGUUGUACCUUGACCUUAUGACAACUAGAACUGGAUACUUAAUAAAACACACCCUUCCAAGUGCCAGAUAUAACCCGGUGAUCGCUCUCUAGAUCGCCGGGUAGGAUUAUGCUAUACGAUGCUGCUUGGUGAACUUACCAUCUACUCUCUCCUACAUGCUGCAAGAUGGAGGUGACCAGAAGCGUAGUCUUCGACAGGAUUAGCUAUCCCCUUUUAUUUUGGCAUUCUGCAGGUCAGUCCACCGAUAUGGCCCCUUUACACAUAUACCCAUGCAUAUGUAGUGUAGAUCCUUGCUUGCGAGUACUUUGGAUGAGUACUCACGGUUGCUUUUCUCCCUCUUUUCCCCCUUUCCCUUCUACCUGGUUGUCGCAACCAGAUGCUGGAGCCCAGGAGCCAGACGCCACCGUCGACGACGACUCCUACUACACCGGAGGUGCCUACUACUACGUGCAGGCCGCUGACGACGACCAGGAGUAGCUUAGAAGGAUCCCAGGCAGGAGGCCUGCGCCUCUUUCGAUCUGUAUCCUAGUUUGUGCUAGCCUUCUUAAGGCAAACUUGUUUAACUUAUGUCUGUACUCAGAUAUUGUUGCUUCCGCUGACUCGUCUAUGAUCGAGCACUAGUAUUCGAGCCCUCGAGGCCCCUGGCUUGUAUUAUGAUACUUGUAUGACUUAUUUAUGUUUUAGAGUUGUGUUGUGAUAUCUUCAUGUGAGUCCCUGAUCUUGAUCGUACACGUUUGCGUGCAUGAUUAGUGUACGAUUGAAUCGGGGGCGUCACAAGUUGGUAUCAGAGCCGACUGCCUGUAGGAUCCCCCUUCCACACUCCUUGGCCGAAGUCGAGUUUACACAUUGCAAAACUUUUACUAACAUGGUUGUGCGCCUUACGGGCCCACGUCGCCAAUGGGUGGUAUUAGGAUCUUUUACUCCUCGAUCUUUACUCUGGGACUCUAAGCUUUCUUCUAUUCGGGUUAAAUGAUUUUUCUAAAAACAAAACUAACUUUAGGUUCUCGAAAGUACUUUCUCCCGGAGAGUCCCUCACUUCAGAUGAUCGCCUGUUGCACUAGAAGAUUCCGAAGUUACUCUACGAUGUUCUCUCGAGUCUUUGUGCCAUCACAUUUGCGAUUUCCUUCCACCUCAACCCCUAUGAAAACUGCAUACACUUGCCAUUCAUACAAUCAUUCCCGUUGAUCUUGUUAUUACAAGAUGUCCCGAAAUACUCUUUGUUGUCCCGAGAAUCCUUUGAGCUUACUGCCUUGCAGUUCUUUACCACAUGUAUACCCCUACGGAUAAUUCCUAACACUUAUCGAGUAUCCGUUCAUCCACAGUUGAUUCAUGUAUUUCACAAAAGUCUUCGAAAUACCAUUCGUUCUUUUAAAAAUCCUUGACAUCCUAAUGCUCUUGAAAUUCUUGCUUACUAGCAUUAUGAUUAAUCCCAUAAUUCCGGUAAUCUUAUUGGCAUCCUUUGUCAAUAUCAUUUUGACUCCAUUGAUUCAAUAUGUUGCGAAUGCUCGCAAUCCUCAAUCAUAUCCUAGAAUGCAUCCUUCCGGCUUAGACGUCAUUUUUAACAUGAGCUGGAUCUCGACCAAUCAAAUUGUCGUCGUUUGUACCCCUAAGCUUACUCAAGUUAUCCAUCCUUAAUCAGAGCGUUUGCUUCUGAUCCCUUGAUUUGGAAAUCAUAAAUUCCUUUGCAUCUGAACUUUGAAUUAGUCAGUUGUUUCUAUAAUCUAGUGCCUUUGCAUUGUUUCUUCCUUUGAUUGUGCCGGUGCUCACAUUAACACUGUUAUGGACCGUCAGAUACUUCGUUGGAUUUUAUCUGACAACGCCCUUCAUAUUCAAUAAUCUUCUGAGCCGUCCUCGGAUACAUAAUGCCUUGGGUAAAUUGUAUCCUCUGCUUUCUCAACCAUGUGCUGCUUUCGAGCUUGUAUGAAUUACUCCUAGAGUUGUGGUAUAUAUUUCUAAGAUGCCCCGAUGGAUUGAACAUAUACCUUCCUUAAUUUGGGUGAACCCAAAAGUCUUCAUGGGUCAUAACCUUCUGGUAUUCCGCCAGUUAAACUUUCAAACUCUAAACAUUCUUAACCGAGAGCAGUAAAUGAGAAGUUGUGUAUUGGGGAAGUGGGAGUCGACCUUGAACCUUGCGUUCAUGCCCAUGGACACGAUGCUGAUCUUAUCAUGGAUGCUUCUCUUAAACCCUCUUUGGUAUAAGUUCAUCUUAUAUAUGGGAAUUGGUCUUUUGCAACCAUGGUUCCGACCAUAUUUUCUUCUUGAUUCCAUUUCUCGGACAUGUUAGAGUACUUGCCUUCUGCAGAUCAAUACGCCUGCCCAACCUCUAUUUUGAUCUGCCUUCUUGUAUUACCCCCAUGGUAUCUCGAGGAUAUAUCUUAUGAAUUUCUGAUGAAGUAGUACCUUCCGUAUCAUAGCGACUCCACGGGUUCUGGGUUGUCGUCAACCGAGAACAUCCAUAAGUGAAUCGAUUCCGCGCUCCGAUACGAUAACUCUAAGUAAUUUUUGUUGCUUAUGAGUUUAAUAAUCCUUGAAGUCAUUCCUAGCCUGAUUGGCUAUAUCCUUAUCGUGCUAAAUUUUAACUGUGCUACCUGGUUCUUUUUCCCAGAGCACAAUUUUCGAUGAUGAGCAAAUCAUGCGUCGAUCUUCCUCGUCAUAUUAAUUCUUCUCGAACAACAAACUUGAUUUCAAGUUUGUGUCGUACCCAUGGUUCCAAUAACCUUUCGCUUCACCAUUCCUUUGACUUGAUGUCAUUGCUGAUCGAUUACAUCUUGAAAUCUCUCGACAAAUGUGUCGUGAUCAUCAUCGGCAUUCUGAGCUCUUCCAGGAUAUCAAUUGAGUUCAUGAUGAGAAAUACCAUCCUUUCCCUUGAUGAUUUGUGUUAUCAUCGACCACCUUAUUGACUUUCCUCCAACACAAACUUGUUCGUGUUUUGUGUAUACCUUGAGAUCCUUGCUACCCAGCAUUUGUUCUUCUUUACCUUGGAGUAUUACCAUCUUUUAUGUCAAGAAUGUCGUGAGAAUUUCACCACGUCUUGAGAGUUCUUGGUAUUGUGAUACUUCUCACCCUCGCCAUUCUUUCUUGGUCCCCGUAUUGAUUCUAACCGGGAUACCAACACGUGAACCGUGCUGCUUGGGUUCUGUACUUCUAGCAACCCUAUUGCUUUGAAGUUAAUGGUCGAUAUUUCAUUCUUAGACCAUUGGUUAUCGAAUCACCAUUCUAACAUUGAUCAUGCUACCUAAGCCCAUAUUUCGGGUGCACCUUUCAACCAAUGUUUAAUUGUGUAUGUUUUCCUCGAGCAUACCUCAUUAUAUCAUUUGAUCUGACAAAUGUUAACUCCUUGUUCACAUAAGUGUGGAAAUCGAUCUUUUGAAAAUCUCAAUGAAUUGUCGCUGAGUCAAUCAGCCACCUCCUCACCUCUCCUUGAUUUAAUGAUGAACUCUUGUUUCGGAACUCGCUUCCAUAGUUCAAUUCCCGAGAAUCUUAUAAUGUCAUCUCGACAAUUUGUGUUGCACCUUUCUUCUCAGACAUCCCGAGUCUGAGUUAUCCUGACACCAAUCAGAUCUGAAUAUCUGUCAGAUAUGAUGGUUGGAACAUAUUUCCAAGAGUUAUAACAAUGGUCUUUAUGUGACCCGGUAAGGUGAUGUCGUGCCUAGCACACCUGGCCGGAGGCCCUAUUGUUAUAGUUUCCUUUUCAGCAAGGCUAUCCUUUCUUCCAUGAGGAAAUUGUAAGACUUAUUCUAUAAGUUGUUCCUGAUGGAUCCUUUUUGUUUCCAAAGUCUGAUGUUCACCUGUUGACCAUGUCAAUGCUAUCUCGAAGCAUGUCUAUGGUACUCCGAUUUUCAACAGGAACAUUUGAAUCCCAAUGUUAAAUGUUUCCUGCUCAAUUAUCCAAACACCGUUGUAUGGGUAAUGUCAUGAUAUUUCUCUCCCCUCUCCUAAAGGGUUUUCUAUGUUAUAUCCUAUCAUGGAUAUCAUGCUCUGCUUGUCCUUGGGAAGGAUAUACCCUUGAAAUAUGUGUUUAAACACAUUUUCCUUUCCAUUGUUCUGUUUGAUCUGAUGAUCACAUUUUCCUUUCCAUUGAUUUGUUUAAUCUUCCUUGUGAUCCAUAUGAUCUAAGCAGUAAUAUUCUUCUGCUUAUGUAAACACCUUGGUGUACAACCGUGUGAGUAAGAACCUGUUGCAUUUGUUGAUAGCAUUCCCGUAACCACCGAUGGACGAGAACUUUGCCUAUUGGUCCGCCUCGUUCAACGAGCAGGAAAAUGGUUCUCUUCGUCCCUCGCCCUUGGUAUCGAUGUUGUUGCCGACAUAACCGAUAGACUAUCCUCUGACAUGCCUUGCUUACGUGAUCGUGCAAGACGUCACCGCCCUUCCUACUUUAACCCACAUGGUCGGCCCAUAACCCACAGUUCGACAGGAUCAAAACCUGACUCUCCUGUACAUCACUGUUCCCAAGGUUAUUCCUCACGCUUGGCUUCGUAUGAAAUUCACGGGCCAUCGUCCUAGUGAUCUAUUCUGGUAACACGCGCAAUACUCAAUCUCGUUGCUCUGGACCCCUUUCGCACGGUCUUUCAGACAUCGAACGAUUGCCUAUUCGUUUGAAACUUCUCAUGGUACCUUCUUACUUUGCUCUCGAUAUCUUCUCAAGUUUCAACUCGGGAGAUACUUAUGCUUCUCCCCAUGAGUUAACCGUCCGAUGCUCAAUCUUGUUAGAAUUCGUCCUUAUAGAGCUUUUCCCCUCUUAUCCUUUCGUAAGUACGGUGAAGAUCCUGAAGGAAGGACGACAGCUACAUCAUGAUUACCUGAAGCAGAGGAACGAAGACAUCAAUAUAAUGGAUCGAUCUCUUCGAGAAGAGCAAGCAAGACCGAGAAGAUUCAUUAGAAUUUCGUAACCAGAUCUUUCCCCCUUACUCCACCUCUUAAAAUCUCAGGACGAGAUUUCUUGUACUGGAGGAGAAUUGUGACGCCCGGAUAAUUAAGCUACCGUGAUCUCAUGCUAAUGAUGCCAUGUCAUCAUGAUUACUAUGCUAACUGCCACCUGUUUCAAAUCAACUCCAAAAAUCCAAUAUAAAUUGCAAGUGAGAAAACAUUUCUUCAAACUGACAAAUAAAAAUGUUGAAUGGGUUGAAAAUAUUCAGUAAAUAAUUAACAUAUAGGAAACAACAUUACACGGAUUUUUAAAUUGCCCCUAGGAGUUUUUAGCGAAUCAGCGGGAUUAAAUAAACACAUUUUAAUUCAAAUAUAAAUUUUAAUAGUCCCAAUUGGCCUCAAACCUUUUUGUACAUCCCUGUAAGAUAGCCUAGUAUUUAUGUGCUAAGUCUCACAAUUAACAAAAAUCAUCUGACAGCAUAAAGUAAAUGCAAAACAUUGGAGAAAUUACAAAACAGUAAAUAAAAAUAAAAAAAAGAAAGAUGCCUAACUACUACCAUGGAGUGGGCUCUUUUUGCACAGUGCACUUGGCCCAUCGUGAAUAUUACCCAAUCCAGCCCAUCUCUCCCUCCUCUUCAACCUUACCUACAGAGACUAGUGCGUGUUGUUCAUCCGCGGCCGUCGUCGCUCGAUUGCCGCCACGCACGCCACAGAGCCUCCCCAUCCCUAUAAGCACACCCUCUGGGAACCCUAGAUC
Molecule: long non-coding RNA, 13224 nt
Filed under: Triticum aestivum (bread wheat)
Lineage: Eukaryota; Viridiplantae; Streptophyta; Magnoliopsida; Poales; Poaceae
Description: long non-coding RNA (TAES_LNC015241)
Source: RNAcentral